UGGGGAAUAUUGGACAAUGGGCGAAAGCCUGAUCCAGCCAUGCCGCGUGUGUGAAGAAGGUCUUCGGAUUGUAAAGCACUUUAAGUUGGGAGGAAGGGUUGUAGAUUAAUACUCUGCAAUUUUGACGUUACCGACAGAAUAAGCACCGGCUAACUCUGUGCCAGCAGCCGCGGUAAUACAGAGGGUGCAAGCGUUAAUCGGAAUUACUGGGCGUAAAGCGCGCGUAGGUGGUCUGUUAAGUUGGAUGUGAAAGCCCCGGGCUCAACCUGGGAACUGCAUCCAAAACUGGCAAGCUAGAGUACGGUAGAGGGUGGUGGAAUUUCCUGUGUAGCGGUGAAAUGCGUAGAUAUAGGAAGGAACACCAGUGGCGAAGGCGACCACCUGGACUGAUACUGACACAGAGGUGCGAAAGCGUGGGGAGCAAACA
Molecule: ribosomal RNA, 427 nt
Filed under: uncultured bacterium
Lineage: Bacteria
Description: partial 16S ribosomal RNA
Rfam family: Bacterial small subunit ribosomal RNA
Source: RNAcentral